RNAcentral lists this transfer RNA (73 nucleotides) under Bacteroidota bacterium. Its description in RNAcentral is "Bacteroidetes bacterium tRNA-Thr". It matches the Rfam family "tRNA". From Rfam's summary of the family: Transfer RNA (tRNA) molecules are approximately 80 nucleotides in length. Their secondary structure includes four short double-helical elements and three loops (D, anti-codon, and T loops). RNAcentral also lists the same sequence under 5 other names. The record is from RNAcentral. Lineage: Bacteria; Pseudomonadati; Bacteroidota.
GCCAACGUAGCUCAGCCGGUAGAGCAGCUCACUCGUAAUGAGCAGGUCGUGGGUUCGAGUCCCACCGUUGGCU